This 253-nucleotide ribosomal RNA is filed under the name uncultured bacterium. RNAcentral's name for it is "partial 16S ribosomal RNA". It matches the Rfam family "Bacterial small subunit ribosomal RNA", at positions 524 to 776 of the family's 1533-position model. The record is from RNAcentral.
UACGUAGGGUGCAAGCGUUGUCCGGAAUUAUUGGGCGUAAAGAGCUCGUAGGCGGUUUGUUGCGUCGGCUGUGAAAUCCCGAGGCUCAACCUCGGGUCUGCAGUCGAUACGAGCAAACUAGAGUGUUGCAGGGGAGACUGGAAUUCCUGGUGUAGCGGUGAAAUGCGCAGAUAUCAGGAGGAACACCGGUGGCGAAGGCGGGUCUCUGGGCUGGAACUGACGCUCAGGAGCGAAAGCGUGGGUAGCGAACAGG